CACGUAGUUAGCCGGCGCUUUUCUGCAGGUACCGUCACUUUCGCUUCUUCCCUGCUAAAAGAGGUUUACAACCCGAAGGCCGUCAUCCCUCACGCGGCGUUGCUGCAUCAGGCUUCCGCCCAUUGUGCAAUAUUCCCCACUGCUGCCUCCCGUAGGAGUCUGGGCCGUGUCUCAGUCCCAGUGUGGCCGGUCACCCUCUCAGGCCGGCUACCCGUCGACGCCUUGGUGAGCCAUUACCUCACCAACAAGCUGAUAGGCCGCGAGCCCAUCCCAGACCGAAAAUCUUUCCAAACACGACCAUGCGAUCACGUCUCAUAUCCAGUAUUAGACGCCGUUUCCAGCGCUUAUCCCAGAGUCCAGGGCAGGUUGCUCACGUGUUACUCACCCGUUCGCCACUGAUCCACCAAGCAAGCUUGGCUUCACCGUUCGACUUGCAUGUGUUAAGCACGCCGCCAGCGUUCAUCCUGAGCCAGGAUCAAACUCU
Molecule: ribosomal RNA, 484 nt
Filed under: uncultured Microbacterium sp.
Lineage: Bacteria; Bacillati; Actinomycetota; Actinomycetes; Micrococcales; Microbacteriaceae
Description: partial 16S ribosomal RNA
Source: RNAcentral